RNAcentral lists this long non-coding RNA (1362 nucleotides) under Panax ginseng (ginseng). RNAcentral describes it as "long non-coding RNA (PGIN_LNC015809)". Lineage: Eukaryota; Viridiplantae; Streptophyta; Magnoliopsida; Apiales; Araliaceae. The record is from RNAcentral.
AUUAAUUUAAUAGUGUUUGAAUGAUUUACUAGAAAGAAAUUAAAUACAUGCGGCAUAUGUAAUAGUAAAUCUCUGGAUUAUUUGUUAUAUACGUACUAUUUGGCAUGUUAUAUACGUAUCAAACACAUUUUUUUUCAUUACACCAUAAUAAAUUAUUAUAUUCUCACCUGCAUUCUUACAAUUAUUCAAAUGUAAUUCAUUUAAUUAUGGUUAAAAGACCACAGAGAAACCAAGCAAUUAAAUUGAAGUAUAUAUGCAUGUUGUUAACGCCAGAUUUUGUAUGUCUAUGUCUGACAAAAUUAUUAAAACAUGUCCAAAAUCGUGCUAACAGUUGAUUGUAUUGUCGUGAAAUCAAACUCACGAAAUACACUCAAGAUAAACAUAUAAAAAUAUAAAACAUGAACACAAGAAUAUACCUGAGAAAAAAUCUACUACUCCCUCCGUCCCAGGAUAAAAGUCCUUAUUACUAUUUUAGGUAGUCCCAUGUUAAAUGUCCACUUUCCUUUAAUAACCAAACUUUUAAACAAUUUUUCCUAUUAUACUCUUAGCAUUAAAUAUCUCAUAUUUUUCUUAUUCUAAUUCUCUGUUCAUAUUUAAUAAGUAUAUUUUGAAUUGAAAAGUUAUAAAAUCACUCUCUCACCUACAUUGGAAAUGAUUAAUGAAAUAUUAUUAUGGGCAAUUUUGUCAUUUCAUUCCUCUUUAUAAUAUGCGUGAAAAGUUCACCAGAACUUUUAUCCUGGGAAGAAGUAUAAUAAUACGAAGAAUACAAAUUGUGUAUUUGUGUAAUAUGUAUCGUGUGUAAUGUCUCCAAACUCUUACUUAUUGCAGUAUUUGUAGAUGUCAUGUCCUCCAUAUAAUUACAACAUGCCAAUCCCUUGAUAUGUAACUGUAAGGUAUGCUUAUGGAUGAACAAAAAUUGCUUUAACUUAGUUACUUGAUACAUUGUAUUCUGUGGCUUUGUUUAUACUUACUUACUUGAACACAUUGGUGUUGAUAUCUUUGUAUUUUGGGGAACAGCGGGGUGCAGCAGGAGCCGCGCAGCAGAGGUACAGCAGCAGGCAGUGCCGAAGCCGGGGCAGCGAGCGACUGAGCGUCUGGCUGCGUGAGGGAAAUCAGAUGAUGGCGAUUGGUUGUGACUGGUGAGUCGUGAGAGAGGGAGGAUAGUGAUGAGAGAGAUUUGGGCGCAGCGGUGAAGAAGCAUGACGAACUGAAGGCUAGAGCCUGUUCGGGAGCAGACCAACUUAUAAGCUACUGUUUUCAUCUGUUCGUGUUCGUUUGCAACUUAAAUUGUGACUUAUUUUUUUAAUUUAUAAGUCAAAAAUAAUAAGUAAUACAAUUUAUAACCUAUUGAAAAUAUGUCAU